This 96-nucleotide transfer RNA is filed under the name Streptomyces tuirus. Its description in RNAcentral is "tRNA-Gly". Lineage: Bacteria; Bacillati; Actinomycetota; Actinomycetes; Kitasatosporales; Streptomycetaceae. The record is from RNAcentral.
CCACCGCCGGGCUUCUGGGGUGUCUCGGGCUUCCCGGGCCUGGGGCCGGGCUUGGGCGUCGAGCCGGCCGGGGUCGUCGCACCCGGGGCGGUGGGC